Long non-coding RNA from Tetranychus urticae (two-spotted spider mite), 1263 nucleotides. RefSeq lists it as uncharacterized. NCBI's taxonomy places the organism in Eukaryota, Metazoa, Arthropoda, Arachnida, Trombidiformes, Tetranychidae. The record is from RefSeq and is a predicted model, not a curated record.
AACUGGCAGAUUAAACAAUCAACCUGAAAGUACAAUAAAAAUAAUAAUAAUGAGCAAAAUUUAAUCCCACUCACAAUAUUUAAAUUGACCGCUAAACAAUGUAGAGAGUUGGCGACAUUAACAUACGGUUUGGCGGGUUAAACUGCUGUUGUGUUGAGGCGUCUUUUCAAUUAAUACAAAUCUUAAUUAUCUGGUUUUUUCUAUUUUACUUUAGUGAAAGUAACGAAAUUUUAUAACAGUAACAAUCAACUUAAUCACCAUCAUCUACAUCAAUUUUAUCAAAAUCAACUUAUAAGUCAAAAUGUAAAUUAUGUUUGAAUCAACAAAAGCAAACAUCUUCUGACUGUUGAAGCCUUGGUUGGCUUUUGGAUCCUCGUUGUGGUCUUGCAUGUGGUUUUAAAUGUGACCUUAAAUGUAACCUUAAAUGUGAACUUAAACUAUCUUCUCUGUUACUCUGUUACCCGUGAUUUUGGUCUGACAUAGGAAAAGCGAACCCAACGGAGGAUUGCUGAUGAAAUUUAUUCCGAAGGAGGAAAAGCAAAUGUUGACUUUAUUAUGGCCACCAAGUUAAUUUGACAAGAGACUUCACUGAGCCCACCGAGGUUAACAAGAUGGACUUCUUAACCAGCUGUCAACCAAUUUAAUAUAAAUGGAUCUUACUUGGGACUAUUUUUGGAUGGACAGAAACUGGACAAAAGAAAAUCAAAGGAUUGAUCUGAAAAGUUAACUAAACAACAGGGAAAUGCAACAAGCAGUGAGAAAAUACAUAAACAUGAAGUGGACUUCUGAGUAUCUCAGUAGAUGGCUAGAUUGAAUGUUAUAUUUCAAUUAUUAUUACAAAUGUUGGUUGAAGAAACGCAAAAUGGUAUAAAAAAAGUGCGAUAAAAAUGAAACCUCUUAAAAGAGUCACGGUUAUGGCCUGAAGAAGCUGUUAAAAAUAUUGUUGAUACAGAUGAAGGUGGUAAAAGCAGAUGGAAUCAAACUCCGGAAGUUUCUAGGUGAGAGAAUCGACAUUUCCCAUUUACCGCUGUUUUUAUCCGAUGAUUGGCAGAAUAAUUGUAAUUUCUGGCAUUUCUAUCAGAGACACGUCCAAUCUGAAGACCAAUAUAAACCUAGAUCAAUUGAAUCAUCUAUUGACACAACUUUUAAAAUUCAACCGAAUGGUGACUUAGUGAAUGGAUAAAUAAAGGAAUUAAUAAUUCAUAAAGAACCCAAUGUACUGUAUGUAUUAUAAAGAGUAAUUAAUACAAUUAAAUAUGAUUU